RNAcentral lists this ribosomal RNA (762 nucleotides) under Helochares sp. SLE0034. Its description in RNAcentral is "SSU rRNA". It matches the Rfam family "Eukaryotic small subunit ribosomal RNA", at positions 411 to 1125 of the family's 1831-position model. The record is from RNAcentral. Lineage: Eukaryota; Metazoa; Arthropoda; Insecta; Coleoptera; Hydrophilidae.
CACAUCCAAGGAAGGCAGCAGGCGCGCAAAUUACCCACUCCCGGCACGGGGAGGUAGUGACGAAAAAUAACGAUACGGGACUCAUCCGAGGCCCCGUAAUCGGAAUGAGUACACUCUAAACCCUUUAACGAGGAUCAAUUGGAGGGCAAGUCUGGUGCCAGCAGCCGCGGUAAUUCCAGCUCCAAUAGCGUAUAUUAAAGUUGUUGCGGUUAAAAAGCUCGUAGUCGAAUCUGUGUCUCGCGCCGCCGGUUCAUCGCUCGCGGUGUUUAACUGGCGUGCCGCGGGACGUCCUGCCGGUGGGCUUAGCUCUCUUCCGAGGGGGCGGCCCAACAUAAUAUCCCACCGCGGUGCUCUUCACUGAGUGUCGAGGUGGGCCGGCACGUUUACUUUGAACAAAUUAGAGUGCUUAAAGCAGGCUAAAACUUCGCCUGAAUACUGUGUGCAUGGAAUAAUGGAAUAGGACCUCGGUUCUAUUUUGUUGGUUUUCGGAACCCCGAGGUAAUGAUUAAUAGGAACGGAUGGGGGCAUUCGUAUUGCGACGUUAGAGGUGAAAUUCUUGGAUCGUCGCAAGACGAACAGAAGCGAAAGCAUUUGCCAAAAACGUUUUCAUUGAUCAAGAACGAAAGUUAGAGGUUCGAAGGCGAUCAGAUACCGCCCUAGUUCUAACCAUAAACGAUGCCAGCUAGCGAUCCGCCGACGUUCCUCCGAUGACUCGGCGGGCAGCUUCCGGGAAACCAAAGCUUUUGGGUUCCGGGGGAAGUA